RNAcentral lists this ribosomal RNA (253 nucleotides) under uncultured bacterium. RNAcentral describes it as "partial 16S ribosomal RNA". It matches the Rfam family "Bacterial small subunit ribosomal RNA", at positions 524 to 776 of the family's 1533-position model. The record is from RNAcentral.
GACAGAGGGGGCAAGCGUUGCUCGGAAUUACUGGGCGUAAAGGGCGCGUAGGCGGGAUGGCAAGUCGGUCGUGAAAUCCCUCGGCUCAACUGAGGAGCGUCGAUCGAAACUGCCGUUCUUGAGGGUUGCAGAGGAGACUGGAAUUCCCGGUGUAGCGGUGAAAUGUGUAGAGAUCGGGAGGAACACCGGUGGCGAAGGCGGGUCUCUGGGCAACUCCUGACGCUGAUGCGCGAAAGCUAGGGGAGCAAACAGG